Molecule: non-coding RNA, 110 nt
Organism: Acanthosepion pharaonis
Lineage: Eukaryota; Metazoa; Mollusca; Cephalopoda; Sepiida; Sepiidae
Source: the annotation of a GenBank genome assembly
UUACGGCCAUAUUACGUUGAAAUACCGGAUUCCGUAGGAUCACCGAUGUUAAGCAACGUUGAGACUGGUCACUACCUAGAUGGGUGACCACUUGGGAAUACCUGGUGCUA